UACGUAGGGGGCUAGCGUUAUCCGGAAUUACUGGGCGUAAAGGGUGCGUAGGUGGUUUCUUAAGUCAGAGGUGAAAGGCUACGGCUCAACCGUAGUAAGCCUUUGAAACUGGGAAACUUGAGUGCAGGAGAGGAGAGUGGAAUUCCUAGUGUAGCGGUGAAAUGCGUAGAUAUUAGGAGGAACACCAGUAGCGAAGGCGGCUCUCUGGACUGUAACUGACGCUGAGGCACGAAAGCGUUGGGAGCAAACAGGAUUAGAUACCCGUGUAGUCCCUGAGCGGG
This 281-nucleotide ribosomal RNA is filed under the name uncultured prokaryote. Its description in RNAcentral is "partial 16S ribosomal RNA". It matches the Rfam family "Bacterial small subunit ribosomal RNA", at positions 524 to 803 of the family's 1533-position model. The record is from RNAcentral.